GCAUUUCAUGAAAGGGAAAUUGGAUUUUUUUUUUUCCUUCUGAAGCCUUUAAUGAUACCACCAUAGUUUUUCUGAAUUCAGAACACUUUUACAGUUCUAUCAUGGAAUGAGUGCUAACCCCCCCAGCAUCAUUCUGUGGUUUUAAAUGUUACACCAAAACUGGCUCAGGGAAGUAGCUAUGUAUGAAGGAUUUGAUGGGUUCCAAAAGAGAAAAGGGAACAGAAAAAAGGAAGAGUAAAUUUUGUGGUUGUGAGACUUAUGGUUUAGGGUACCCCUUGGGGUUCAGAGCUUCGCAAAGACAGGAAGUAUCCAUUCAUAAGACUUGGUCCCUUUCUACUGUAUUUGGUAUCAUAAUUUAAAUGAAUUUAGGGCUGAAUGCCAGCAUCAGUCAGUUCCACAUGUUUGAUCAAAUUCCCAUUCUUGCUACAUAGUUUUUUCAAAAAGCAGACGUCAGUAGAGGGAUGCUAGAACUACUUCAGGGAUACACAUUGAUCUAGCACUCCAUGGAGGAAGUGAGUCAUAAAGUUGCCUCUAUGCAUGUAGAGAAUAUGAUCGCAGGAAUGGAGAGAUCCAAAUACAUGAUCUCACCUUUAACACAGUGCAGUUAAUCCAAAAGUAGUGCCAUGGUUUGAAACACGGUGGGAAUACCUUGUCUAUAAUUUUCUCUAUAUAGAUCUAAAUAUAUCCUAGCUCAUAAAUUCUUUGUUUAGUUAUUUCUUUUACAUUAUUUUAUAGAGUCGGUCUGUUACUUAACAGAUUUCCCAUUUUAUUCAUCAAGUUUAGCUCUUUUUUUUUUUCUACAGUUCAUUAUGGAAAAUAUUCAAACAUAUAGCCAAGUUGAAAAGUUUUAAUGCAAAGCUGGAGUCUACCAUAGCAUUUUACUAUACUUGCUGAUACAUAGCUGAUUGACCUUUUGGUAGUUUCCCUGAAUUUAAUUCACCCUAAAAUAAGGUUUUCCCUCCAACACACACACACACAUGAAGGUAGAUAAUUCCAAAACAGGUGUUUUGAGAUAAAGAUGAACCCAUUAGAAUAUUAUCAAGAUAACUUCAGUACCUUAAAAAGGAUUAGUUCAUAUCUAUGGUUAAGUUCUGAUAUAUGCUUAAAAAUUAGACAUACUGCUUUAGAGCCAUACUUCAUUUAUGGCAUCAGCCAUAUGACUACUUUAUGAUAAGAUUAGAUCUCGGUAUCUACAAGUGCAUGUAAGUACAUUUUAAGCCACAUAAUAAAAACUAGGUAUAUGACUUGACAAUCAAUAAAGAUAAAUUUAUUCAUAUCUGUUAUGCAAUACUUUUGAUCCCCCACACCUUCUAUAGUGAAAAUGCAGCUAUUCUGUAGGGAAGCAAAUUGUUCUUAGUUGCUCUUCCCUUGUUACAUUAUAGAUUAAUACUUAAAGGUUGUUUAUGACGUUGAAAAGAGAAUAUGUGUUUUAAAAAUGCUAAAGCUUGAGUUCCCUUCAUGGCUUAGUGGUUAACGAACCUGACUAGCAUCCAUGGGGACUCAGAUUCAAUCCCUGGCCUCCCUCAGUGGGUUAGGGAUCUGGCCUUCCUGUGGGCUGUGGUGUAGGCUGGUGGCUACAUAUCUGAUUGGACCCCCUAGCCUGGGAAGCUCCAUAUGCCGUGGGUUCGGCCCUAAAAAGACAAAAAAAAAAUUGCUAAAAUUUCCUCUGGCUUUAUAAUUCUUUCAUUCAUGAAGGUCUGAAAUGUCUUUAUGAUUUUAGUAUUCAUCUUUUAAGGAUGUUAGUGUUGGUAUGAAUCAUAGGAAAUGAUAUUUGUUUGACCACCCUCUGUUCUCAGCAGGUGAUACUUUGGGCUCCUUGAUGUGCAGAAGAACACCCAAAUUCCUGUAAUCUUGGAUUUGUUGGGCUCCUAAUACUUUAAUAAUCAGAAUUCCUUAAUACUUAGACACAAUUUAGACUUUAUUGAAAAUCUCCUCGGCUGUGGUACAAGUGUUCCCAUCUGAAGGAAGUAACUUUUGAUCUGGUAAUGUGUUAAGGAAUUCUGUGGGCACUUUAAUGAAAUAAAAACUUAUUUAAAUAGCUCUGAAGGACUAUAAAUAAAAGAGGUUAAGAGAAAAUUUGAGAAUUGUAAAUGUAGAUGAGACCUCAGAGAGACUAUUCAGUUCAUUCCCCUCAUUUUAUAUGUAAAGGUGAUGGUGGAUCACUCAGUAAGGUUAACAGUGGGUAUUGAUUUCAUUGAGUUGCCCAAGUUCACUCAUGUAAUAAAAGCAGACCCAGGAACCCGAGACUCUUGCCGUUCACACUUAUUGUUUUCCUGCACUAUGUCAAAAAUUCCUAAAAUAGGGCUUUUAACUAUGUUUUAUAACUUAAGAUACUGGGCCACAGAGAUUAAGUAACUUUCUCAAGUUUAUAUAUAACGAGUGAGUGGCUACAUGGGAUUUGAUUCAGGCUAGCUGGUUCUAGAGUCCACACUUGUAAUCACUGAGAUUUGCUGAGCAAGUGAGUGAAUAUACAAUGGAGGCAGAAAGGAGCUGUAACUCACUGGAGUCUGGCAAAGACAUGAGAUUGCUCUUAAAUAAUGAGUGCACAUUUUCAAGAGGGAGCGGGAAGAGGGCGUCCUAGGUAUAAGACAGAUUCCUGAAAGUGCCUGAUGAGUUUGGAAGCAUUGCUGUCUCUAAAGUGCGGAGAGGGGGGGAGGGAGAGUAAAAGAAGGUUCUAGAGCAGCACAGUUUGGUUCUGCUGAUUAUGCCAUAUUAGGAUAUUUGAAAUCACUCCAGCAAUGAAAUAGAGAAUGGGAAUAAAAUAAUAUACAUUUAAUUAAACCACUGUGUGCCAUGUGGUUUAAUGCUUCACACACACACACACACACACACACACACACACACACACGCACACACCAAAUGAUAGGAGCACAGGAUAGUGACAGAUUCCAUCUGACACUGUAGCUUAUUUUGACCUCGUUUGGCAAGGAGCCAAUGGGAGUUUUGAGGCAAAAGGGUAGACUGAUCACUUUUCUCUGGGUUUUGGUAAUAAGGGAAGAGUCAGGAUGGUGGACCAGUGGGGAGAUGUGGGCGUUAGGGAGACAAGCAAGGGCUAUCCCAGACCCAGAGGCAGGAAGACCUUUUCUUAAGGCACUGGCAGUAGGGCUCCAAGGAUGGUUCUGAUUUGAGGUUCUUCUCCGAUUACCUUUACACUUUGCAGUCAAAGAACGCUUCGUCUAUGCUGUGCUGAUAUGGCCCUUGUGACUUAGUUGCAGUGGACAGUGGGGUCUAUGUCACUUAGCAAUGGGCCAGGGCAUAGUGCUGAUCCAAUGUGAGUGAUUUUGGUCAUGUUGACAGUUGUACACUAAAAUGGUUUGUUUGUUUCACUAAUGAUGAGCGCCUUUCACACAGAAGAUUAGCACACAAAUUAGUGUUUGUUGAGCUUGACAAAAUGAGCUUCAUUGGGUGGUGGGAGGUUACUGUUAUACCCACUUUAGGGGCCUCAAACUUCAGUUGCUGCUCACAGUCUAAGAUGGCACAGGACUUUCGAGUUCUCUGAGAUCGAAGGAAAUUGAUGCAUCCCGGAGUCCAGUUGUAACUAAAUGAUUUUUCACAUGUGAAUUUCUGUUAAGGAACAUUGAAAUCAUUGUAGUUUUAUGAGGUUUUUUCCUUCAUUUUCCCUUUAAAGGGUUUAAAACAGUGUAAAUCAGGAUAAGGUGUUAAUUUAUAAUGUGUUGUUUCAUCUUAAAGGAUAUUUUAAAUGUAUUUAAAUUAGCUCUCUGCUCAAAACCAGAAGGUAAAUACAUAAAGGCUUUAUAAGUUAUUGCUGAAUAUUUUUCUAAAGGAAAAAAAAAGUUUCAGCAAUUUAUAGAAAUGUUUUAGAUUCUUUCAUUUUUAGCCUAAAGGGGAAAUUAGUGAGAUGCCAGAAUGAGGUAGUUAGAGUAAUGAGAAGAGAGAAAUGAGGAAAAAAUGGACAAUGGAAAGACAUUAUCCUGCUAGAAAGAUAACGAGAGGGAAUAAGAAAUAAAGGAAGGAGGGGAGCAUUAAUGAAAAUGAACACGGGUAUGCAUCGUGUCUAGGGAAAUAAUGAGAAUAUAGCAAAAAUCCUCAAAUCCUUUCUCCUUCCUCUGUAUGUGUAUUUUUCACUAUGCAAGGAGGUAUAGAGCACUGUUGAACAGCAGGCAGCUCAAAGCAACUGGAACAAGGAAAAAGAAAAAAGCAUAACAGCAAUUCUUUCCACUAUAUAAACAGUCUUUUAGAUUCAUUAGAAAACAAUUUUGGAAAUAUUUGAUAAUUGUUGCUUUCAGUCAUAACAGGUAUGUGAACAAUACACUUUCUAUUCAUAUCAAAUCCGUUUGAGUAAGGUUGGUUGAGUUUGACAUUCUUUGCUUAAUCGAGCUUGCUCAUACUUUUUUAGAUAUGUCCCACUAAUGAAUGACUGAUGUGAACUGACAUAAUGUAGGAUUGCCAUAGUGCAUUUCUUUAGUGACUUCGGUGUAUUUUGGGAAUAUUGUUUUAAUUCUAAAGCAGGAAAGGGGGGGGUCAGAGGUCAUUUAGCCCAACUGUCAUUUCAUAAAUGAAGAAAAUAAAAUCCUAGAAAAGCUACGUGUUUUUGCCUGAGGCCCAGAGCUGGUUGGGAGCAGCCUAAGAAUUACUCACAUUCCCUCAGUCCAGUGAGAUUUUGUCAUACUACACUGCUCCAGAAUCUUAGGGCAAGAGGGGAGAAAUAUAUCAAGAUACAGAAAGGAAUCUUCCUCCUCUUUGCUGCCAUUUUACCAGUAAACUUGUUAUUGGUUUCAAAAGGGGACAAAACCAAUAGAAAAUAAGUGAAACAUUUUUAAGAGAACAAAUUACUAAGGGAGAGGCAUGUGUUGUGAGAGAAUUAGCACCAGGGCAAGAGCCCAGAGCCCCAUCUCAAGAGUCCCUUGAAUUUGGGCAGAGCCCUUGAGCUUGGGCAGAGAGUGAUAGCUCCAAUUGGUGGGCAAGAAGGUUCUUACACUGAGGCAGAGUCUGAAUCUGGUGAAAUCAAAACUUUCUGUCAGUAAAAUUCUGAUAUAAAAUAAUGGGUUCCAAUGAUAAUCUCAACUUUUAUGGACAUUCGUGGUUCAUGCCUUAUCAAAAUGAAGAAAAAUAGUGUAAUCCCUCUGAAAAAGCUACUGUUGUUAAAAAAAAUAAUCCUUAUAGCUGAAAAUCUCAGAUGGAAUGUAAAAAAAAAUGUUGAUAACUCAUUUCUAAGGGAGGAGAUAGUACAAACAAAGAACAAAUUUCUGUUAUAAAAAACUAAACAACAAUCUUGACCUUGUCACUAUUAUUAUCUACCUUCUUGGUCUUGCAUGGACAAUUAUCCAACUCACAUUAAAGUUUAGAACACUGCCACCUCUACUUUGUGUUCAGACAGCCAUUGACUGUGUAGNNNNNNNNNNNNNNNNNNAACCUAAAUAGUUUAAAGCAAAAUAUGUUAACCAUUAUGCUAGAAUGAAAUUUAAUAUUCUAAAGGCUUUUGCUAAAAUAAAUAACCUGAGUUUACCAUUGUAACUAUAUAAAGUCUAAAGCAGAUACACAUAAAAAAUAGCAGGCGAUCUGUACUGGAUUGAGCAUAUAAUUGGUGUCACUGUAAGAAAAUUCUCCCAAAGAGAAGUCGUAUCUCAGAAAUAGACCAUGAGGUGCUCUUGAAACUUUCUUGGAGCCCUCAUAUUUUAUGAUUAUUUUGUGUAGUGUUGCUGUUUUGUGGUCGUUUUUCAACAUUAAGACAGAAGAGAUGGGAUUCUCUGGCAUUGUCACUGCUGUGGCAAGGGUUCGAUCCCUGGGAACUUCUCUGCAUACCACAGGUGCAGCCAAGCAAACAAACAAAAAGACAAUAUAUGAACACAAGUUUGAUGUGCCUUCAGAAUCUUAAGAUUAUAAAGGAAAAGUGGAAUGUUAGGAUAAUUCUCAAAGAAGAAAAAAAUUACAGAAAAUUCUUUUUCUUUAUCUCUUCUUUUUAGGAACAAGAGUUGGAAAGGGGGCACUUUUUUGAAACAAAAUUAAAAACAAAGACAUAAAUACUGUACAUCCAUGAAAAAGUAAUAUGUGAACAUUCAAUACUAUGUGAAAAAGCAUGUGCUGGUUAAUCAAACUUAGAGGGCUAAGAUGUAAAAACAAGAGGGAGGAGUUCCCCUUGUGGUCAGUGGAAACAAAUCUGACUAGCAUACAUGUGAGUUUGCAGGUUCAAUCCCUGUCCUUGCUCAGUGGGUUAAGGAUCCGGCAUUGCCAUGAGCUGUGGUGUAGGUUGCAGACACGGCUCAGAUCUGGUGUUGCUGUGGCUGUGGUGUAGGCUGGCAGCUGCAGCUCUGAUUGACCCCUAGCCUGGGAACCUCCAUAUGCUGUGGGUGUGGCCCUAAAAAGCAAAAAAAAAAAAAAAA
RNAcentral lists this long non-coding RNA (6341 nucleotides) under Sus scrofa (pig). Its description in RNAcentral is "lncRNA (ENSSSCG00005009249.1)". The record is from RNAcentral. Lineage: Eukaryota; Metazoa; Chordata; Mammalia; Artiodactyla; Suidae.